RNAcentral lists this long non-coding RNA (257 nucleotides) under Elaeis guineensis (African oil palm). RNAcentral describes it as "long non-coding RNA (EGUI_LNC065627)". The record is from RNAcentral. Lineage: Eukaryota; Viridiplantae; Streptophyta; Magnoliopsida; Arecales; Arecaceae.
CGACCUUUAUGAGUAUCUACUCAGGAUCAGCCUGGAACAGCCCUCUAUAAUCAAAAUUUUGAAUCUCCAAAAUUCAGCCUGCUAAAUCUGAACGAAACCUAGAUCGCGAUCAAUACUUGAUCUUUCUCCUUGAUUUUCUUUUUGUUCUCUUAUCUAGAGUUUCUCCUUGCUAUGUGCUACUACUAGAUGCUAGAAACUAGUAAGGAAGAGGUACUCAAACUUUUUUGGAUAUGAAAUACCUUGGGAUGCGCAUCCCA